GAAGGGGGCUAGCGUUGUUCGGAAUUACUGGGCGUAAAGCGCGCGCAGGCGGUUUUCCAAGUCAGAGGUGAAAGCCCAGAGCUCAACUCUGGAACUGCCUUUGAAACUGGAAAACUAGGGUACGGGAGAGGUGAGUGGAAUUCCGAGUGUAGAGGUGAAAUUCGUAGAUAUUCGGAAGAACACCAGUGGCGAAGGCGGCUCACUGGCCCGUUACCGACGCUCAGGCGCGACAGCGUGGGGAGCAAACAGGAUUAGAUACCCUGGUAGUCCACGCCGUAAACGAUGGAUGCUAGCCGUUGGUAAGCAUGCUUAUCAGUGGCGCAGCUAACGCAUUAAGCAUCCCGCCUGGGGAGUACGGCCGCAAGGUUG
This 369-nucleotide ribosomal RNA is filed under the name uncultured organism. Its description in RNAcentral is "partial 16S ribosomal RNA". It matches the Rfam family "Bacterial small subunit ribosomal RNA", at positions 527 to 896 of the family's 1533-position model. The record is from RNAcentral.